AAUAAGUUGACAGAUUAAUGUAAAUGAUUUAGGAUCAUUAAAUGAGCACUUACUCACUUAUUU
RNAcentral lists this transfer RNA (63 nucleotides) under Siphonodentalium lobatum. Its description in RNAcentral is "tRNA-Leu". Lineage: Eukaryota; Metazoa; Mollusca; Scaphopoda; Gadilida; Siphonodentaliidae. The record is from RNAcentral.